RNAcentral lists this ribosomal RNA (341 nucleotides) under uncultured bacterium. Its description in RNAcentral is "bacterial SSU rRNA". It matches the Rfam family "Bacterial small subunit ribosomal RNA", at positions 82 to 422 of the family's 1533-position model. The record is from RNAcentral.
GUAGCAAUACCUAGUGGCAGACGGGUGAGUAACGCGUGGUCAACCUACCCUCGAAUGGGGGAUAACUAACCGAAAGGUUAGCUAAUACCGCAUGAAACGUAGCGCGGCAUCGUGCAACGUUGAAAGAAGCAAUUCGUUUGAGGACGGGACCGCGUCCGAUUAGUUAGUUGGUGGGGUAACGGCCUACCAAGACUCCGAUCGGUAGCUGGUUUGAGAGAGCGACCAGCCACACUGGGACUGAGAAACGGCCCAGACUCCUACGGGAGGCAGCAGUGAGGAAUUUUCCGCAAUGGGCGCAAGCCUGACGGAGCGACGCCGCGUGUGGGAAGAAGGCCUUCGGG